GAUGAACGCUGGCGGCGUGCUUAACACAUGCAAGUCGAACGGAAAGGCUCCUGCUUGCAGGGGUACUCGAGUGGCGAACGGGUGAGUAACACGUGGGUGAUCUGCCCUGCACUUCGGGAUAAGCCUGGGAAACUGGGUCUAAUACCGGAUAGGACCACAUUUUGGAUGGUGUGGUGGAAAGUUUUUCGGUGUGGGAUGAGCUCGCGGCCUAUCAGCUUGUUGGUGGGGUAAUGGUCUACCAAGGCGUCGACGGGUAGCCGGCCUGAGAGGGUGUACGGCCACAUUGGGACUGAGAUACGGCCCAGACUCCUACGGGAGGCAGCAGUGGGGAAUAUUGCACAAUGGGCGCAAGCCUGAUGCAGCGACGCCGCGUGGGGGAUGACGGCCUUCGGGUUGUAAACUCCUUUCGCUAGGGACGAAGCGUUUUUGUGACGGUACCUGGAGAAGAAGCACCGGCUAACUACGUG
Molecule: ribosomal RNA, 467 nt
Filed under: uncultured bacterium
Lineage: Bacteria
Description: partial 16S ribosomal RNA
Rfam family: Bacterial small subunit ribosomal RNA
Source: RNAcentral